GCGGUCGUAGCUCAGCUGGUUAGAGCACUCGCCUGUCACGUGAGGGGUCGUGGGUUCGAGUCCCAUCGACCGCGCAA
Molecule: transfer RNA, 77 nt
Filed under: Candidatus Yonathbacteria bacterium RIFOXYC2_FULL_47_9
Lineage: Bacteria; Candidatus Yonathiibacteriota
Also listed under: 1 other name
Description: tRNA-Asp
Rfam family: tRNA
About the family: Transfer RNA (tRNA) molecules are approximately 80 nucleotides in length. Their secondary structure includes four short double-helical elements and three loops (D, anti-codon, and T loops).
Source: RNAcentral